This 494-nucleotide ribosomal RNA is filed under the name uncultured bacterium. RNAcentral's name for it is "bacterial SSU rRNA". It matches the Rfam family "Bacterial small subunit ribosomal RNA", at positions 899 to 1397 of the family's 1533-position model. The record is from RNAcentral.
ACUCAAAGGAAUUGACGGGACCCCGCACAAGCAGCGGAGCAUGUGGUUUAAUUCGAAGCAACGCGAAAAACCUUACCAAGACUUGACAUCGUGCGACCGGUAUAGAAAUAUACCCUUCUUUUAGACGCAUAGACAGGUGGUGCAUGGUUGUCGUCAGCUCGUGUCGUGAGAUGUUGGGUUAAGUCCCGCAACGAGCGCAACCCUUAUAAACAGUUGCCAAUAUUAAGUUAGGAACUCUGUUUAGACUGCCGUGGACAACACGGAGGAAGGUGGGGAUGACGUCAAAUCAUCAUGCCCCUUACGUCUUGGGCUACACACGUGCUACAAUGGCUGUUACAAAGAGCUGCAAGCCGGUAACGGUAAGCCAAUCUCAAAAAAACAGUCUCAGUUCGGAUUGUGGGCUGCAACCCGCCCACAUGAAGCCGGAGUUGCUAGUAAUCCCGAAUCAGCAUGUCGGGGUGAAUGCGUUCCCGGGGUUUGUACACACCGCCCGU